RNAcentral lists this ribosomal RNA (197 nucleotides) under uncultured bacterium. RNAcentral describes it as "partial 16S ribosomal RNA". It matches the Rfam family "Bacterial small subunit ribosomal RNA", at positions 328 to 539 of the family's 1533-position model. The record is from RNAcentral.
ACGCUCGACACCUACGGGAGCAGCAGUGGGGAAUAUUGCACAAUGGGGGAAGCCCUGAUGCAGCGACGCCGCGUGAGCGAAGAAGUAUUUCGGUAUGUAAAGCUCUAUCAGCAGGGAAGAAACUGACGGUACCUGACUAAGAAGCACCGGCUAAAUACGUGCCAGCAGCCACGGUAAUCUGAGCGGGCUGGCAAGGC